Hyaena hyaena (striped hyena) is the source of this 114-nucleotide small nuclear RNA. RefSeq annotates it as U5 spliceosomal RNA. The transcript has a single exon. Lineage: Eukaryota; Metazoa; Chordata; Mammalia; Carnivora; Hyaenidae. The record is from RefSeq and is a predicted model, not a curated record.
AUAGUCUGGUUUCUCUUCAGAUUACUUAAAUCUUUUGCCUUUUCCUAAAGAUUUCCAUGGAGAGGUACAGAAAAGAGUUUUUACCCAAUUUUAGAGGUCUUGUUUUUAUAAGGC